UGGAGUUUGUCAUCUGUGGCUGCCCACUGAGACGGGACAGCACCGAUACCAGAAUCGGAGGCAUCAACCUCCACUACAAACUGGCGGUCCGGAUCAGGUUGGAGUAAGAUCGGGGCCAUGGAGAACCGGUGUUUGAGAGUACAAAAUGAUUC
Molecule: long non-coding RNA, 152 nt
Organism: Thalassophryne amazonica
Lineage: Eukaryota; Metazoa; Chordata; Actinopteri; Batrachoidiformes; Batrachoididae
Exons: 3
Source: RefSeq, a predicted model, not a curated record